Molecule: ribosomal RNA, 468 nt
Filed under: uncultured bacterium
Lineage: Bacteria
Description: partial 16S ribosomal RNA
Rfam family: Bacterial small subunit ribosomal RNA
Source: RNAcentral
GAUGAACGCUGGCGGCGUGCUUAACACAUGCAAGUCGAACGGAAAGGCCCAAGCUUGCUUGGGUACUCGAGUGGCGAACGGGUGAGUAACACGUGGGUGAUCUGCCCUGCACUUCGGGAUAAGCCUGGGAAACUGGGUCUAAUACCGGAUAGGACGAUGGUUUGGAUGCCAUUGUGGAAAGUUUUUUCGGUGUGGGAUGAGCUCGCGGCCUAUCAGCUUUUUGGUGGGGUAAUGGCCUACCAAGGCGUCGACGGGUAGCCGGCCUGAGAGGGUGUACGGACAGAUUGGGACUGAGAUGCGGCCCAGAGUCCUACGGGAGGCAGCAGUGGGGAAUAUUGCACAAUGGGCGCAAGCCUGAUGCAGCGACGCCGCGUGGGGGAUGACGGCCUUCGGGUUGUAAACUCCUUUCGCUAGGGACGAAGCGUUUUUGUGACGGUACCUGGAGAAGAAGCACCGGCUAACUACGUG